Molecule: ribosomal RNA, 468 nt
Filed under: uncultured bacterium
Lineage: Bacteria
Description: partial 16S ribosomal RNA
Rfam family: Bacterial small subunit ribosomal RNA
Source: RNAcentral
GACGAACGCUGGCGGCGUGCUUAACACAUGCAAGUCGAACGGAAAGGCCCUGCUUUUGUGGGGUGCUCGAGUGGCGAACGGGUGAGUAACACGUGAGUAACCUGCCCUUGACUUUGGGAUAACUUCAGGGAACUGGGGCUAAUACCGGAUAGGAGCUCCUGCUGCAUGGUGGGGGUUGGAAAGUUUCGGCGGUUGGGGAUGGACUCGCAGCUUCUCAGCUUGUUGGUGGGGUAGUGGCUGACCAAGGCUUUGACGGGUAGCCGGCCUGAGAGGGUGACCGGCCACAUGGGGACUGAGAGACGGACCAGACGCCUACGGGAGGCAGCAGGGGGGAAUAUUGCAGAAUGGGCGGAAGCCUGAUGCAGCAACGUCGCGUGCGUGAUGACGUCCUUCGGGUUGUAAACCGCUUUGGCCUGAGACGAACCGUUAUUGACGGUAAUGGGUAAAGAAGCACCGGCUAACUACGUG